RNAcentral lists this long non-coding RNA (2277 nucleotides) under Nicotiana benthamiana. Its description in RNAcentral is "long non-coding RNA (NBEN_LNC025416)". Lineage: Eukaryota; Viridiplantae; Streptophyta; Magnoliopsida; Solanales; Solanaceae. The record is from RNAcentral.
AAAGUGUCUCAGAACUGAAGAGACAAAUCUCUCUUCCUCGUAUCUCCUCUGAGCUUCAUCGGAAUCACCAUCUCCGGUGAACGCUACCAUGACCAAAGCCUUCCAAGAUAACAUCACGAGAUCCUCUUCUCCUCCUAUAUCAGAAGCCAUCGCCAUUUUCUUCCAAAGACCUCCCUAUCUCGUCAAAUAUUGGCUCAAAGUUUUCCGGCCAUGACCCAUCCUUGCCCAAAUCCCACCAAAUUUACACCAUAGGAUCGUUCACCAUCCUCUACAUAACCCCUAUGACCUUUUGUCUCGAAUGUAGCCGGACGGUCUCGAAUAUUAGUUUUUAUUUAUCUGGCCAAAACCCUAAAACGACCAAAGCAAACGCAAUUGACGUCAAAGGAUCCCUGGGAUUUCCUCGUGAGGAUUUGAUCGUCAUUAAAGCCAAGCAUCAUCAGGAUUGGCUGAAUUUUGAAGUAGUGGCUGGACGUAUUUGAAUUUCAGUUAACCGUAUUCUUGUUGAUAUCGUUUCAAUUCUAGUGAGUUUUUUUUAUUUGUGUUUUUAUCUUCUCAAAUGUUAGUCUUCAGAUUAAUGUGUGUCAAUUGUCGAUAAUUCUUCUCUACUUCUGUAGUUUACUGCUUAUAUGUCUAGAUUUUAGCUAAAGUCUGCCGUUAAUUUUUUUCUAUUUGACUUUUAUUUCUAGCCUUGGUCUUGAUUAAUUGAUGCUUUGGUAGGAUAGAUUUUAUUUCAGUGUCAUUUUUGUUUGUGUUGAGGUCUCAUCAGUGAUCAUUCUGGGGCAUUAGAUUUUCUACCUAUUAGUUAGAUUAGUGUAAGUGUAGUGGUGCUUGUUUAGCUUUGAUAUUUAGACUUGUUGCUUAAUAAUCAGGCAGUGAUAAAGUAGGAUUUUUUUUAGCUAUAAUUUAAUUCAUAGUUUAGAAAGUAGUUUGGUCAUAAGGACAGGAGGGUAAUUCAGUGGUUAAUUCAAGAGGGAAAAAAUAGGAAAUUCAGGAAUGUAUAGGAAUUCUCUAGGAGCUUCUAGAUGGGGAUUUGUAAGUAAUUUGGAGGGAAUAGUGGUAUUUACUUGUAUGGCAAGUUAGAAAUAAAAGGGGUAAAAUUUAAAAGAGGGAAGGGCUAGAGGGAAAUAAAAACUUGCUUGGUUGUCUAUAAAAGGCAUUUCAUUUGCCUUGUUAAGGGGUCUUCAUUUUUUUCCAGCCAAAAACAGCUUUUAAUUCUGAUCCAGUUCCCGAUUUUCUAGUUUAAAAUUUUAUCUUGUUCUAUACAAAAAAUUCGAAAAAAUCAGUAAUGAUUUCUAGAAAACAAAACAGAAACAAAGAAAAUUUAGUAAAAAAGAAAACCCACACACUGGUACUGUUCCCUCGAGUCAAGGCUCCAGCUCAAAGUUCAUUAACUGUUUGAUAUUUUAUUGGUUUGAUUUCAAGUUGUUAAGGUUCCACUGAGGCUUAUCAGUACAAUUUUGAGCUAUUUGGGGUGAUUCUGGGUUAACUUGUUGGUUCUAAUUGAUUUCAAAACAUUCCUAGACUCUACAUUCAUCCCUGGUUUCAAGUUUAGCAUGGAUUUGGGUUGGUGAAUUAUCUCUGGAUUGCUGCUUGCCGUUUUCUGUGCCGAACCUCGUUUUCAUUCUUAUUUUGCAAUCUCCGGGUACACACUCAAUCAUUGUAUUGACAUAGCUAGAAAUGGAGACAUUGACAAUUUAUAUGUUCAUUUAGUUCAGUAACAGUAGUCAAUAAUUGUUUUAUUUUGCUUUGGUUUUGCAUUCAUUAUGCCUAGUUUGACUUAUGGAUGAAAUUUAUUAAUAUGGACUAUGUAGAUUAGUUUUUUUUGUUUUGUUUAAUAAAAAUAAUUUGGGCUAGUUGGAUUUAUAUGUGCAAUGGAUGUAGUUGCUAUCUGUAGCCAGUACCCAUUCUCGUGCUAGUAUGUUUUUCACCUAAAGCUUGAAGUUGAAACUCAUGAAUAGCUGAAACUUACUGUUAAUUUGGGUUCCAUAUCGAGAAUUGUGUCUCUGUGAGUUUACUACUUCAUAAGUGGUUUUGGUAAUUGAAGGAAUUGGUAUCAUGAAUUGAGCAUAUGAUUUUGUUAGUUAAUUGGUUUAAGUUAGUUAGCCAUUAGAUAAUUGUGUAUCUGCAGAGUAUUACUUUAAGUUUUAAGACUUGCCAUCCAAGUUAUGUCAAUCAGAAUUAAGUAUACAGUGUUUCAUUUAUUGAAUGUGUUCAUGAGAUGUUGGCUAAUGCGUGCAAAAGUUGAGCAGGGCAUCCCAGCUAUAGGGAUUCGACCCC